RNAcentral lists this long non-coding RNA (475 nucleotides) under Sinocyclocheilus grahami. Its description in RNAcentral is "lncRNA (ENSSGRG00000004538.1)". Lineage: Eukaryota; Metazoa; Chordata; Actinopteri; Cypriniformes; Cyprinidae. The record is from RNAcentral.
UGGUGUCUUCGGGACGUAGGCUAUCCACCGAGAGGGCGGAGUCCUCGGAGUCCGUGAAUAAAGGGACUCCAGCUUUCGGGUUUUUAAAAACCUCUUCUCUCUGCGCGUGCGGCGUGUGAGGUGUGUUCUGCGCAUAGACUGUGGUUCUUCGACGAGUCUAUUAUGGAAGUGGAAGAGGAAGAGGAAGAGGAAAUUGUGAGACAAGUUAGGAAGAAGAUAAUGCCCAACAAACUGCAUUCCGAUCAUCAGAAGAACAAGAAGAGGAAGAACAAAAAGAAGUCUCAAACUAAAGGGUCAAGAGAUACAAACACAGUGAAACCUGUGAGAUGCAACAGCAUGGAGCGACUUUCACCCACGUUGUCUGGUGAUCAAGCUGUAGAGUCUCAUUCUAAUGAAUCAGAGAAGGUCCAGGAUGAGGUGACUUUACAUUACAGACUGUUGUAAUAUACUGAAUGAUCAUGAUAUUCAAGAAUGU